Molecule: RNA transcript, 4068 nt
Organism: Varanus komodoensis (Komodo dragon)
Lineage: Eukaryota; Metazoa; Chordata; Lepidosauria; Squamata; Varanidae
Gene: CARS2
Gene name: cysteinyl-tRNA synthetase 2, mitochondrial
Exons: 16
Source: RefSeq, a predicted model, not a curated record
GGAGGAGAUAUUCGCCAGAGCUCCUCGGUUCCUGUCUGCGGGCCAUGUGGGUUGUGCGUCUGUAUGUUGCUGGCUUCGGUGCAAAAAGCGCUUUUAACAGAAGCUAUUUCUGCAGUCGGUGAGCGGUGGGGCUGGUCCGGCCGCAAAGAAGCAUGUUUCGCGUUCUGACCACGCCGUGGGGCGCCGGCUGCCUGGGAGCUGCCGCCCGCGGGUCGCCGUGGUGGGGUCCAGGGCGCUGCGCAAGACUGGCCCUUGAAGCUGGCGGAGCUACUCCUGCUGGUGAAGGGAGGCUGGCUCUGGAUGAAGCUUCGCCGAGGAGAAGGUGCUGUGGCGCCCCAGAGCACGGGACUAAGUGGAUCAAGCCCACAGGCCGAGACACGGGCAUCCAGACCUACAACAGCCUGAGCAAAAGCAAAGAGCCGCUCAUAUUGGGGGACACCGAUGUGGUGACUUGGUAUAGCUGUGGGCCAACUGUGUAUGACCAUGCACACCUUGGGCAUGCUUGUUCCUAUGUUAGAUUUGAUAUCAUCCGAAGAAUAAUGACAAAGAUAUUUGGAAAGGAAGUAAUCAUGGUGAUGGGAAUUACAGAUAUAGAUGACAAAAUAAUUAAAAGAGCCAAUGAGAUGGGUAUAUCACCAGUGUCUCUUGCCCGUUUUUAUGAGGAAGACUUUAAGCAGGACAUGGCUGCCUUAAAGGUUCUUCCUCCUACCAUAUAUAUGAGAGUAACUGAAAAUAUUCCUCAGAUCAUUGCUUUUAUACAGCAGAUAAUUAUUAAAGGUCAUGGUUAUGCAACCUCAAAAGGUAAUGUUUAUUUUGAUGUCAGUUCUAGGGGAGACAGAUACGGAAAACUAGUGACUAUCUCUCCUGAUGCUCAAGAGGAACCAGUUGAUGGUGAUAAACGUCAUGUGAAGGAUUUUGCUCUUUGGAAGGCAGCCAAACCUCAAGAGAUAUACUGGGAUUCUCCCUGGGGGAAAGGAAGACCUGGCUGGCACAUUGAAUGUUCUACGAUAUCAAGCCUCGUGUUUGGAGGUCAUUUGGAUAUUCAUACUGGUGGGAUAGAUCUUGCAUUUCCCCAUCAUGAAAAUGAAAUUGCUCAAUGUGAGGUGUAUCAUCAGUGUGAGCAAUGGGGAAAUUACUUUCUACAUUCUGGACAUCUGCAUACUAAAGGAAGUGAAAAAAUGUCAAAAUCUCUCAAAAACUACAUUACAAUUAAGGAUUUCCUGAAGGAGUUCUCAUCUGAACAGUUUAGAAUGUUUUGUUUGCGGAGCAAAUACAGGUCAGCUGUAGAAUAUAGUGAGGACAGCUUGAAUGAUGCAAAGAACACCCUUCAGGCAAUCUAUUCUUUUAUGAGUAGUGCUAACACCUACAUGAAAGGGCAGCUUCUCUGUGAGGCCAUUAAAGAAGAUGUACUGUGGGAGAUGCUAGCCCACACUAAGGCAACAGUAAAGGCUGCGUGUGCUGAUGACUUUGACACCCCCAGGGCUGUUGGUGCAAUUAUGGGCCUCAUUCACCAUGGCAACAGACAGCUUAAGGCCGUCACUAAGGAAACUGGAUCUCCUAGAAGCGCUGUUGUGUUUGGAGCCAUUGUGUCCUAUAUAGAGGAAUUUUUCAACACAUUUGGGAUUGCCCUCUCUGAAGCUCAGGUUGCUCCAGAACACAACCAUCCAGCCAUCCUCUCCAGUGUGAUUGAUGAACUGGUGAGGUUCCGCAUCAAAGUGCGCAAUUUUGCCCUUGCUGUGCCGGCAGCUGCAGAAAGUGCACCCACUGAAGGUGCUCAUUUGUCCGAAGAGCCAAAACAGAUACAGAAAGAGGAAAGGCAGCGGCUGUUGAAAGACCGAGCACCCCUUCUGCAAGCGUGUGAUAGUCUGCGUCAAGACCUAGCUCUCUACGGACAGAAGUACUACUUCUACAUGGGAACUCGGAGACCCCAGCAAAGAACUGGAAAAAGGCUGAUACAAAUAUGGACCACACUUGGAGUGGUUUAACACUAUGGAUUUAAAAUUCUUGUGACUUAAGAGAGUUCUCUACUUAAAAGUAAAAAGCUUUGUCAUUGAUUUUGGGGAACAAGUGCAGAUCUGUUAUGCAUAGCUAAAGCUCCUCUGUGUUCACACUUACGGAAUCCUGUAAACUUGUUUGCAUCACUGUCUUCAGUGAGAUUAAACUGCUGCUUCUGGUUUUGUUUUGUUUUCCUUUUAAAAACAGAACUUUCUAGCGAAACUGCCAUUGCCGGGUCUCAUGACAAAAGAGGUUUCUAGGGGUGACACCAAAAGCUGCUGUAAGAUCUACAAAGGCACUACACUGUUCAAAUGGGUCCCCCUCCAGUCUUGAAAUGUUUUAUGAUUGAUUGAUAUGACUGACAUUCCUGAGAGCUGAUAUUGAGAUGUCUGUGCCAUGGCAUCAGCAUCUUCAGAAGUUAGGCAUCUAACCUUCCUAUCUGUGCUUGAAAAUGUUCAGUAAGAAAAUGAGGUAUGGCGUUAGAGCGAGUUCCAUUUGCUUCUUUAUUGCCUGCAGAUUAAACUUUUUGGUUUAGUACUUCCUUUCUUCAGUGCCUUUUGAAGUACCUUCCAAAUUCUGACAGCAUCAGCAGUACGGCAGCCAUUUCUGAAAACCCUUUUAAGGCUAUGGCUUCCAGUAUAGUGAGAAUAUCUUCUGUGUUUAAUGAUUUGGAAGAGAUACUUUCACUAUUUUAUGAAUGCUUCACACAGCUUUAUGAGAACAGGCCAGGACAAAUUCUCAAAACAAUCACCUAAGGAAUUCCAUCCUGAAGAAGAGUUCGUUUUCAUCCUAAUUCUCUCUUUAGUAAAGCUGAGGCAAAACCAUUUAAUAGAAGUACUUUGUAACUUCAUAGGGUUUUUUUUUUAAUUCCUGGAGAAGUAGUAGGUCAAAACGAUGCAUUAAAUGGAUAUACAGCAACUAUAUGUUAUUUAAGGAGCUUCAUUUCACAUCUUGCCACUUCUCAUUUUUGCCAUAUUUGCAGUUUUGCCUGUGACAAACCUCACGUUACAUUUGAUCUUGGCUCACAUUUUAUUGUAAAUUUCACUGCCACUUCUUUUAAAUCUGUUGUGUGUUUGCCAGUUUGUUUCUGAAAGAAAUUCUUGCACACUAGGUUGCUUCUCAUACUAUCUAGCAACCCUCCAACUAUGUCUACUCUGUGUUCCUAAGAACUUAACCAAGUCCUUAUUUAUUACCUUUUAUUAAUAAUGUGAAAAAGGGGGUAACUUGUAGGUAUGUUCUGAUCUUAUUACAAACCUUAUUACAUGCUAGGGGUUUUACAGGGUGAUUGAAAUAUUUCGCUUGCAACUGAACUGUCUGGAACAUGUUUCGUGGCAGGAGUGCUGCUAAAACUACCAGUAGAUGACUCUAAAGUUGCAGAUGGUCAAGUUGUUUGCACUUCUCUAGGAUUCUGAGACAAAUUAUUUUGGUUCUUCUCAUUCUGUUAUUCGGUGAACCAAUUAAUUUGUUUUCAACAAGAAUGCAGUUGAUUGCAAGAGUAUCCAAAAAGUUAAAGUUCAUUUAUGGAACACAUUGAACAUCACUGGUGCUUCAGUUUUUGAGAAAUUUAAAUAUAUGAUGGGAUUAUUUGACAAACUUGAGUAAUGUUGCAUUAAAAUAGGGAAUCGUCAAUGAUGAUCUGCCAUGAUGAUCCAUAAUUAGGGGCAUAUGAUAACUGGUCGCAAUUUUAAAUUUCUCUUCUUGCAACUUUCUGUAUUAACUAUGUUUAGAAUCUACAAAGUUUAAUUGAGCCAGAAUUAACUUGGCAAAGCCACAAAAUAUUCUAGCAAGACCCAACACAGCAAACAGUUUAAGAAUCUAUUUGUUAAGUCAGACCUAAUAUGCAUAGAGAGAUGGUUAAAUCACAAUUUAACCUGGAACCUUUGAAUUCAGGGAACCGUGUUAGUCAUGACUGACUUAAAUCUCACCGAUUUCAGUGACGUUGAGGUGCAAACCAAUGUCUUGACAGGUAAUGUGAAAAGGAGCAAAAUGAAUUAAUUUGCUAACCAAUUGAUCCACAUUGUUCAGACUAGGCUACAUAACUCUCUCUUAAUAAACAGUUUUCAUUAAAAUGUU